This 254-nucleotide ribosomal RNA is filed under the name uncultured bacterium. RNAcentral describes it as "partial 16S ribosomal RNA". It matches the Rfam family "Bacterial small subunit ribosomal RNA", at positions 524 to 776 of the family's 1533-position model. The record is from RNAcentral.
UACGGGGGGGGCAAGCGUUGUUCGGAAUUACUGGGCGUAAAGGGCUCGUAGGCGGCCAACUAAGUCGGAUGUGAAAUCCCCAGGCUUAACCUGGGAACUGCAUCCGAUACUGGAUGGCUUGAAUCCGGGAGAGGGAUGCAGAAUUCCAGGUGUAGCGGUGAAAUGCGUAGAUAUCAGGAGGAACACCGAUAGCGAAGGCAGCUCGCUGGGACGGUACUGACGCUGAGGUGCGAAAGCGUGGGGGAGCGAACAGG